UGGGGAAUAUUGCGCAAUGGAGGAAACUCUGACGCAGCAACGCCGCGUGAAGGAUGAAGGUUUUCGGAUUGUAAACUUCUUUGAUCGGGGACGAUAAUGACGGUACCCGAAGAACAAGCCACGGCUAACUACGUGCCAGCAGCCGCGGUAAUACGUAGGUGGCAAGCGUUGUCCGGAAUUACUGGGUGUAAAGGGCGUGUAGGCGGGAAGACAAGUCAGAUGUGAAAGCCCACGGCUUAACUGUGGAACUGCAUCUGAAACUGUUUUUCUUGAGUACUGGAGAGGAAAGUGGAAUUCCAAGUGUAGCGGUGAAAUGCGUAGAGAUUUGGAGGAACACCAGUGGCGAAGGCGGCUUUCUGGACAGUAACUGACGCUGAGGCGCGAAAGCGUGGGGAGCAAACAGG
Molecule: ribosomal RNA, 404 nt
Filed under: uncultured prokaryote
Also listed under: 1 other name
Description: bacterial SSU rRNA
Rfam family: Bacterial small subunit ribosomal RNA
Source: RNAcentral